GCCCUUGUAGCUCAAUGGUAGAGCUCCAGCCUGUCAAGCCAAAGGCCAGUGGUUCGAUCCCCGUGCGGGACA
This 72-nucleotide transfer RNA is filed under the name Phytophthora infestans (potato late blight agent). Its description in RNAcentral is "tRNA-Asp". Lineage: Eukaryota; Oomycota; Peronosporomycetes; Peronosporales; Peronosporaceae. The record is from RNAcentral.